Molecule: ribosomal RNA, 383 nt
Filed under: uncultured bacterium
Lineage: Bacteria
Description: bacterial SSU rRNA
Rfam family: Bacterial small subunit ribosomal RNA
Source: RNAcentral
GAUGAACGCUAGCGGCAGGCUUAACACAUGCAAGUCGAGGGGUAUAGUUCUUCGGAACUAGAGACCGGCGCACGGGUGCGUAACGCGUAUGCAAUCUACCUUUUACAGAGGGAUAGCCCAGAGAAAUUUUGGAUUAAUACCUCAUAGUAUGUGAGAACUCGCAUGGUUUUUCACAUUAAAGUUCCAACGGUAAAAGAGUGAGCAUGCGUCCCAUUAGCUAGAUGGUAAGGUAACGGCUUACCAUGGCGACGAUGGGUAGGGGUCCUGAGAGGGAGAUCCCCCACACUGGUACUGAGACACGGACCAGACUCCUACGGGAGGCAGCAGUGAGGAAUAUUGGACAAUGGGCGCAAGCCUGAUCCAGCCAUGCCGCGUGCAGGAAG